UAAACAUGGACCCAGCCAGAAAUGGAGAAGUGGCUGAAAGAGGAAGAAGAGUGGCUGGGAGGGGGCGAGGAAUACGUAUGCAUGGUGGAAGAAGAAGAAGAGGAAGAUCAAGAGCUGUAGUCGCAGAUGAGAUCAGAGCUACUGUAAUUGAUCAUGUAGUAAAUCAUGGUCACUCAAUGAGAGAGGCUGGUCAGAGAGUGCAGCCAAAUCUGCAACGCUCUACAGUGGCAUCUAUUGUUAGAGUUUUCCGGCAAACCAACAGGACUCAACGGUUACCUCACACGGGAGGGAGAGGACAGAUGUUCACUGAUGUGCAGGAAACUGCCAUUGCUGAUAUGGUCAUCAGAAACAAUGGGAUAAAACUCACUGAAAUUAGACACAGAGUCUUGGCAGACAACAUUACUUUCGCAAAUAUUCACAGUGUAAGCAUAACAACAAUUUCUAGAGUCCUGAAAAACCAUCAGGUCAGGAUGAAACAGUUGUACACUGUGCCUUUUGAGAGGAACUCUGAACAUGUCAAGCAACUCAGGAACCAGUAUGUCCAGAGAGUCAUGGAGAUUGAAGGCAGGCAAACACACCACAUUUUCAUCUUUGUCGAUGAGGCAGGUUUCAACUUGGCCAAAGCACGGCGACGAGGGAGGAAUGUGAUUGGGAAGAGAGCCACAGUGAAUGUCCCGGGCCAGAGGGGUGCCAACAUCACAAUGUGCGCAGCAAUAUCCACUGAUGGACUGCUGUUACACAGGCCACUAAUUGGGCCAUACAACACUGAACGGCUCCUUGCGUUCCUGCAUGAUCUCUAUGGAAGGGUUGUGCUAGGUGAGGAAAGGGAUGCGGAGAGAAGGAAUCAGCCAACAUUUAUAAUUGUAUGGGACAAUGUGGCAUUUUAUCACUCCCGUGCAGUCACCGAGUGGUUUGCAGCCCAUCCCAGAAUGGAGUCUCUUUUCCUCCCACCUUACUCUCCAUUCCUCAACCCCAUAGAGGAAUUCUUUUCCUCAUGGCGGUGGAAGGUUUACGACCAUCAUCCACAUGAUCAAAUGUCCCUCCUGGAUGCAAUGAAUGCUGGAUGCCUGGAGAUAUCAGCAGAAGAUUACCAGGGAUGGAUCAGGCAUGCCAGAAGAUUCUUUCCUAGGUGUAUUGCCCUAGAUGACAUAAGAUGUGAUGUGGAUGAGAACCUGUGGCCAAAUGGAGAAGACCGAGUAGAUUAGCAUUACUAUCAGUGGAUGGUGUGUAUACAAAUUCUUGUAUUUUGGGAUUACUUAGUGCAAAAAAAUAAAAAUACAUAAACAAAUAUUAACGAA
Long non-coding RNA from Oreochromis aureus, 1298 nucleotides. Lineage: Eukaryota; Metazoa; Chordata; Actinopteri; Cichliformes; Cichlidae. The record is from Ensembl.